UACGUAGGGGGCAAGCGUUGUCCGGAUUUAUUGGGCGUAAAGAGCGUGUAGGCGGCCUGAAAGGUCAGCUGUGAAAACUCGAGGCUCAACCUCGAGACGUCGGUUGAAACCAUCUGGCUCAAGUCCGGAAGAGGAGUGUGGAAUUCCUGGUGUAGCGGUGAAAUGCGCAGAUAUCAGGAAGAACACCCGUGGCUAAGGCGGCUCUCUAGUACGGUACUGACGCUGAGACGCGAAAGCGUGGGGAGCGAACAGG
RNAcentral lists this ribosomal RNA (253 nucleotides) under uncultured bacterium. RNAcentral describes it as "partial 16S ribosomal RNA". It matches the Rfam family "Bacterial small subunit ribosomal RNA", at positions 524 to 776 of the family's 1533-position model. The record is from RNAcentral.